RNAcentral lists this unclassified non-coding RNA (329 nucleotides) under soil metagenome. Its description in RNAcentral is "partial contains 5.8S ribosomal RNA, internal transcribed spacer 2, and large subunit ribosomal RNA". The stretch from base 1 to 120 matches the Rfam family "5.8S ribosomal RNA", at positions 35 to 154 of the family's 154-position model. The record is from RNAcentral.
GAUGAAGAACGUAGCGAAAUGCGAUAAGUAAUGUGAAUUGCAGAAUUCAGUGAAUCAUCGAAUCUUUGAACGCACAUUGCGCUCCCUGGUAUUCCGGGGAGCAUGCCUGUUCGAGCGUCAUUACAACCCUCAAGCUCUGCUUGGUGUUGGGCCCCGCCGCCCCGGCGGGCCCUAAAGUCAGUGGCGGUGCCGUCCGGCUCCGAGCGUAGUAAUUUUUCUCGCUUUGGAGGCCCGAGCGCGUGCUCGCCAUCAACCCCCAAUUUUUUUCAGGUUGACCUCGGAUCAGGUAGGGAUACCCGCUGAACUUAAGCAUAUCAAUAAGCGGAGGA